GACGAACGCUGGCGGCGUGCCUAAUACAUGCAAGUAGAACGCUGAAGGAGUAGCUUGCUUCUCUGGAUGAGUUGCGAACGGGUGAGUAACGCGUAGGUAACCUGCCUGGUAGCGGGGGAUAACUAUUGGAAACGAUAGCUAAUACCGCAUAAGAGUAGAUGUUGCAUGACAUUUGCUUAAAAGGUGCACUUGCAUCACUACCAGAUGGACCUGCGUUGUAUUAGCUAGUUGGUGGGGUAACGGCUUACCAAGGCGACGAUACAUAGCCGACCUGAGAGGGUGAUCGGCCACACUGGGACUGGGACACGGCCCAGACUCCUACGGGAGGCAGCAGGAGGGGAUCUUCGGCAAUGGACGGAAGUCUGACCGAGCAACGCCGCGUGAGUGAAGAAGGGUUUCGGAUCGUAAAGCUCUGUUGUAAGAGAAGAAAGAGUGUGAGAGUGGAAAGUUCACGCUGUGACGGUAUCUUAACAGAAAGGGACGGCUAACUACGUG
Molecule: ribosomal RNA, 495 nt
Filed under: uncultured bacterium
Lineage: Bacteria
Description: partial 16S ribosomal RNA
Rfam family: Bacterial small subunit ribosomal RNA
Source: RNAcentral